CUGUCACGAUGCAGGCACAGUUGUCUCCUGCACGAAUCGAAUCCAUCCUGGCCACGGUGACCAGGAUAAAGCUAGGCCAGGCCAUCACUGUUAAACAUUUUCAGAGAGUGUUAGGUCUCAUGGCAGCAGCAUCCAAUAUCACUCCAUUCGGUCUCCUGCACAUGAGGCCCUUGCAGUGAUGGUUGAAGACCAAGGGGUUCUCCCCGAGGGGAAACCCGUUUCGCUUGAUCAGGGUUACGCGCAGAUGCCUUCGUUCCCUAUCUAUGUGGAAGAGAGCUUGGUUUCUGUCCCGAGGUCCCGUGCUGGGAGCGUCAUGUCACCGGAAAAGCCAUCUCGACAGACGCCUCCCUCACGGGCUGGGGCGCGGUCAUGGACGGCCGCAUUACGAGAGCUAUGGCAAGACUGUCAUUCCUCCUGGCAUAUAAACUGCCUGGAGAUGUUGGCGGUGUGCCGAGCUCUGAGGAGCUUUCUGCCGGACAUCAAGGGUCAUCACGUCCUUGUGAGGACAGACAAUAUGUCGGUGGUGGCCUAUAUAAACCAUCAAGGGGGUCUGAGGUCUAGCCCUCGAUGCAGACUGGCGCAUCAGAUCCUCCUGUGGUCCCAGGGGAAAUUGUUGUCUCUCAGAGCAACAUACAUCCCAGUGAAUCAGAAUCAGGGAGCAGACAUCCUGUCGAGGCAGGGGCUGAGGCCAGGGGAAUGGAGACUCCAUCCCGAGGUGGUGGAGUCAAUAUGUCAGAAGUUCGGCCCAGUGGAAGUGGAUCUAUUCGCGUCUCGGGAGAUGACUCACUGUCCACUGUGGUUCUCUCUCACACAUCCAGCCCCACUGGGGUUGGAUGCCAUGGUACAGACGUGGCCGAGGCUGCAUCUGUAUGCUUUUCCCCCGAUCGCUCUGCUCCCGGGAGUUCGUCGCAACGGCAUCAGUCUAUUAUUGGUAGCCCCAUUGUGGCCGGCCCGAGUAUGGCUCUCAGACAUACUAUUACUCCUGGACGGCCCUCCAUGGGAGCUUCCCGUCAGGAGGGACCUGCUGACACAGGCAGAGGGCUCAAUAUUUCACCCUCGGCCCGAACUAUGGAAACUGUGGGUCUGGCCCCUGAGGCGGCACAGUACCGAGAGGCCGGCCUGUCAGCAGGAGUAGUGGAAACCAUACUCAGCUCUAGAGCUCCUUCCACCAGGAAAUUGUACGGCCUAAAAUGGAAUGUUUUCACCAUUUGGUGCAGAGAGCGUGAGGUGGACCCAGUUAAUUGCCCAGUGGCUUCAGUGCUGGAGUUUCUCCAAGAUCGCUU
Cyprinus carpio (common carp) is the source of this 1283-nucleotide long non-coding RNA. The record is from Ensembl. Lineage: Eukaryota; Metazoa; Chordata; Actinopteri; Cypriniformes; Cyprinidae.